RNAcentral lists this transfer RNA (70 nucleotides) under Dipodomys ordii (Ord's kangaroo rat). It matches the Rfam family "tRNA". From Rfam's summary of the family: Transfer RNA (tRNA) molecules are approximately 80 nucleotides in length. Their secondary structure includes four short double-helical elements and three loops (D, anti-codon, and T loops). Lineage: Eukaryota; Metazoa; Chordata; Mammalia; Rodentia; Heteromyidae. The record is from Rfam by way of RNAcentral.
GGGAAUGUGGCUUAGUGGUAGAGUGUUUGCUUCACAGGCAUGAAGCCCUGGGUUCGAUUCCUCAGUGCCA